Molecule: non-coding RNA, 2338 nt
Organism: Callithrix jacchus (white-tufted-ear marmoset)
Lineage: Eukaryota; Metazoa; Chordata; Mammalia; Primates; Cebidae
Source: RefSeq, a predicted model, not a curated record
ACCAUUGCAGGGAGUGGGGAAACAGAGGGACACCACAGGGAGCAGUUGCUGAAGCCCUAUUCUCUGGGCCUCCAUACAGGGGACAACCAGGAAGAGACAUGGAGUCCACCUGUGCUCAGACUCCAAUGUGGGAACUCAGAGAGUUCAACUAGGGUGCUGAGGCCAAACACAACCAACCCACCGAGCCUCCAGCAAGGAAACCCAAGAAGAGGAGCAGAGGGAGAACUACCUCCAGGCCGGCACUGCAGGCCUGGACCUCAAGAGCUGGGUAACAGAAGCCGGAAAAGGACUUCCUUCCUCAGCAGAGCUGGGAAUCUAGGCCAGAAAUGGAGAGGAGAGGACAGGAGCAUAAGGGGAGAGGUAUGUGCAGAAGCUGGGGGAGGUGCAGGGCCCCAGGGCCGUCUAGAUCUGGUAAAGGCUUGAGGGAGGGGUUCUCCACAUUCUGAGAAGACCAAGCCUCUGAUCUCCGCCCUUUCAGAUCUAAGACUGAAGUGCAGCCAAAACCUGGAGGUGGUGAGGCUGGGCCUGGUGGGUGAGCCUGGGAGGAAGGAAGAGUGUGCUGGGGCUGGGGUAGGUGGCAGGAAACCCAGCCCUCCCAUGGGACUGCCUCCAGGUUCUUAUCUGAGAGCAGCCUGCAUCCUGAACCCACUCACCCCUUCAGUAUCAGCCCCUCCUAAUUUUCGGGGGUAGAAAAUCUGAGAGCUUCCUUGGGAACUAGCAGAUUUCUGGAACCCCCCCGAGGGUCCUUUCUACCCUCACCCCAGCCUGGGUUGUCAUGUGCUGGGGGCCUGGGGGCUGGGCCAGGAACCAGCACUGUGCUUUUCUGUUGGGCAGGAGUGGGGUUCCCAGACCAGGACUCAUGGACACAGGUCCCCUGGGGGCCUGGCUUGAUCUUCUCUGUGGAAGGCCUUCCUCUCCACACAUUCAAGUCAGAGCACAAGGGGUGUGACCUGAGGACCACUGACCCUGUCCCACCUCACUGAGAACAUUUUACCUGAGUCUUGGCAGGAAGGUAGAACCUGACAGUUCCCACUACCUCUGGACCCAGGGGCUCCAGCAUUUGGGGUGCUGCAAGGGAAAUGGCAGUAUCUGGCCAGCCCAGAGCCCCAUGACUUUUUUCUGUGGGCUGCUCCUUCCCUGCUGGUAUUUACUGAUUGCCCACUGGGUCAUUCUCACAUUUCACCCUCCCUGCAACUUACAGAGGGCCCUGAGCAUCAGACGUCACAACUAGGAAGUGGCAAAUCAGAAUUCACACCUGUGUAAUGGUGUCAGCAGGAGCUUCAACUUACCCACUAUAUCCCCUUGAUCCCUUCUAACAGUGGCAGGCCACCUGGUGCUCUCUCUGCCAGGUGACCCUGCCUCUAGGACCCUUCCUGUUCCUCUAGGGGAAAGUGCAUACAUAAUGGAGUUUAGAGGUGGAGCACAUUUGAAUGGCACCCUGGAGUUGUACCAUACAGGGCCCUGCUUCUUUCUUUUCCCUUAGCUUCCAGAUGAGGAAGCAGAGGCCAGAAAGGACCCAACAAUAUCCCUAAAUUUGAAGAAAUAAGCCCAGAUAGCUGGGCACAGCAGCUCACACCCAUAAUCCCAGCACUUUGGGAGGCUGAGGUGGGCAGAUCACCUGAGGUCAGGAGUUUAAGACCAGUCUGACCAACAUGGUGAAACUCCUUCUCUAUCAACAAUACAAAAAUUAGCCAGGCAUGGUGUCCCUCAUGCCUGUAAUCCCAGCUACUCAGGAGGCUGAGGCAUGAGAAUCACUUGAGCCUGGAGAUGGAGGCUGCAGUUAGAGAUGGUGCCACUGCCCUCCAGCCUGGGUGACAAAGAGAGACUCUGUCUCAAAAAAAGAAAGAAGCCCAGGAAUGAAACUUCCAUCCUGACUGCCAAAUCCUAUGCUCUAACCAUAGAUCAACCAUCCUUGCCUCUAGACCUGGAUAUAAGAGAGAGAAAAGGCAAGUAGUGGCACUUAUAGGACACUCCGAAGAAGUGAGAGACAGAUCUCUCCUUUCUCGAUUCUGAAGACCUGCUUCCUCCAAGUGGACAGAGGUCGGGGGGCAGGAGCUGCCCUGAAGCCUAAGGGAGAAAAGCAGAGCUUAUCUGUCUGCUGCCACACUGCUAUACCAUCUGAGAGCAGAUUUGCCUCAGGCUGUCAGCCAACCCUGCUGGAAGACAGAGCUCCUGGGGAAAGUGUGACGUGGCCAAGUGUGCCCAGAAAGCGGGAGUCUUGACUGUGGGACUGGGGCGGAGCUGCCAGGCCGGUCCCAGCACCAAUCCCAAGAAGCCCCCUCACAAUCCUAUUACCCAGAAGGCAGGGGCUACCUCCACCAAUCCACUCACCUCUGUA